RNAcentral lists this ribosomal RNA (348 nucleotides) under Triticum aestivum (bread wheat). RNAcentral's name for it is "partial small subunit ribosomal RNA". Lineage: Eukaryota; Viridiplantae; Streptophyta; Magnoliopsida; Poales; Poaceae. The record is from RNAcentral.
AUGGAGCAAUUGGAGAAGAGGAUGGAUGCUGCAGAACAACAAAUCAAAGAGCUGUGUGAAGAUCUUAAUCGGAGAUUUGACCAGCUGGUUGAGAUGAUAAGAAAGGGUGUUCCCCUGCUGCCAAUGAAGAAGAUUCAUCUAAAGAAGAAGAUGUUCAACGACGAAGAAGGGGAGGUAAUCUUGGAACAAGAUCACCACAACAACGUGCAGUUCAGCGUAAUUCAAGAAGGCCAAUUUAUGUUGAAGCUUCUGAAGAUGAAGAAUAUGAGGAUGCCCUUGAAGAGCCUGAUCUCUAUGCAUAUCGGAGAGUACCCAACCCUACAUAUGCAAGGGAAACAUACAAGGUAA